GACGAACGCUGGCGGCGUGCUUAACACAUGCAAGUCGAACGGAAAGGCCCUGCUUUUGUGGGGUGCUCGAGUGGCGAACGGGUGAGUAACACGUGAGUAACCUGCCCUUGACUUUGGGAUAACUUCAGGAAACUGGGGCUAAUACCGGAUAGGAGCUCCUGCUGCAUGGUGGGGGUUGGAAAGUUUCGGCGGUUGGGGAUGGACUCGCGGCUUAUCAGCUUGUUGGUGGGGUAGUGGCUUACCAAGGCUUUGACGGGUAGCCGGCCUGAGAGGGUGACCGGCCACAUUGGGACUGAGAUACGGCCCAGACUCCUACGGGAGGCAGCAGUGGGGAAUAUUGCACAAUGGGCGGAAGCCUGAUGCAGCAACGCCGCGUGCGGGAUGACGGCCUUCGGGUUGUAAACCGCUUUCGCCUGUGACGAAGCGUGAGUGACGGUAAUGGGUAAAGAAGCACCGGCUAACUACGUGCCAGCAGCCGCGGUGAUACGUAGGGUGCGAGCGUUGUCCGGAUUUAUUGGGCGUAAAGGGCUCGUAGGUGGUUGAUCGCGUCGGAAGUGUAAUCUUGGGGCUUAACCCUGAGCGUGCUUUCGAUACGGGUUGACUUGAGGAAGGUAGGGGAGAAUGGAAUUCCUGGUGGAGCGGUGGAAUGCGCAGAUAUCAGGAGGAACACCAGUGGCGAAGGCGGUUCUCUGGGCCUUUCCUGACGCUGAGGAGCGAAAGCGUGGGGAGCGAACAGGCUUAGAUACCCUGGUAGUCCACGCUGUAAACGGUGGGUACUAGGUGUGGGGUCCAUUCCACGGGUUCCGUGCCGUAGCUAACGCUUUAAGUACCCCGCCUGGGGAGUACGGCCGCAAGGCUAAAACUCAAAGGAAUUGACGGGGCCCCGCACAAGCGGCGGAGCAUGCGGAUUAAUUCGAUGCAACGCGUAGAACCUUACCUGGGUUUGACAUGGAUCGGGAGUGCUCAGAGAUGGGUGUGCCUCUUUUGGGGUCGGUUCACAGGUGGUGCAUGGCUGUCGUCAGCUCGUGUCGUGAGAUGUUGGGUUAAGUCCCGCAACGAGCGCAACCCUUGUUCACUGUUGCCAGCACGUUAUGGUGGGGACUCAGUGGAGACCGCCGGGGUCAACUCGGAGGAAGGUGGGGAUGACGUCAAGUCAUCAUGCCCCUUAUGUCCAGGGCUUCACGCAUGCUACAAUGGCUGGUACAGAGAGUGGCGAGCCUGUGAGGGUGAGCGAAUCUCGGAAAGCCGGUCUCAGUUCGGAUUGGGGUCUGCAACCCGACCUCAUGAAGUCGGAGUCGCUAGUAAUCGCAGAUCAGCAACGCUGCGGUGAAUACGUUCCCGGG
This 1343-nucleotide ribosomal RNA is filed under the name uncultured bacterium. RNAcentral's name for it is "16S ribosomal RNA". It matches the Rfam family "Bacterial small subunit ribosomal RNA", at positions 28 to 1378 of the family's 1533-position model. The record is from RNAcentral.